Molecule: ribosomal RNA, 468 nt
Filed under: uncultured bacterium
Lineage: Bacteria
Description: partial 16S ribosomal RNA
Rfam family: Bacterial small subunit ribosomal RNA
Source: RNAcentral
GAUGAACGCUGGCGGCGUGCUUAACACAUGCAAGUCGAACGGAAAGGCGCGGCUUUUGCUGGGUGCUCGAUUGGCGAACGCGGGAGUAUCACGUGAGUAACCUGCCCUUGACUGUGUGAUAACUUCAGGAAACUGCGGCGAAUACCGCAGAGGAUCUCCUGCUGCGUGUGGGGGGAUGGUAAGUGUCGGCGGUUGUGGCUGGACUCGCGGCUUAUGAGCUGGUUGGUGGAGUAGGGGCUGACCAAGGCUAUGACGGGUAGCCGGCCUGAGAGGGUGACCAGCCACAUUGGGACUGAGAUAGGGCGCAGACUCCUACGGGAGGCAGCAGUGGGGAGUAUUGCACAAUGGGCGGACGCCUGAUGCAGCAACGCCGCGUGCGGGAUGCCGGCCUUCGGGUUGUAAACCGCUUUCGCAUGUGCCGAAGCGUGCGUGACGGUAAUGGGUAAAGAAGCACCGGCUAACUACGUG